Molecule: non-coding RNA, 172 nt
Organism: Coriobacteriaceae bacterium BV3Ac1
Lineage: Bacteria; Bacillati; Actinomycetota; Coriobacteriia; Coriobacteriales; Coriobacteriaceae
Source: Rfam
CUUACCGUGAGGUGGAAUCUGAAGAAAGCAGGAGGCAAACCUUUGGCCUGACGAACAGGAAUCGCAUGAGACGUAUGUGGGUGAGUAAGGUUGCCACACAAGUCAAAGCCCAAAAGCUGCACGGAAACUCACAGCGUAGAUGUGGCAGGUAGAUGAAGGGAAAGAAGUACGC